GGGCGUAAAGCGCGCGUAGGCGGUUUCUUAAGGCUGAUGUGAAAGCCCACGGCUCAACCGUGGAUGGUCAUUGGAAACUGGGGAACUUGAGUGCAGAAGAGGAGAGUGGAAUUCCAUGUGUAGCGGUGAAAUGCGCAGAGAUAUGGAGGAACACCAGUGGCGAAGGCGGCUCUCUGGUCUGUAACUGACGCUGAUGUGCGAAAGCGUGGGGAUCAAACAGGAUUAGAUACCCUGGUAGUCCACGCCGUAAACGAUGAGUGCUAAGUGUUAGGGGGUUUCCGCCCCUUAGUGCUGCAGCUAACGCAUUAAGCACUCCGCCUGGGGAGUACGACCGCAAGGUUGAAACUCAAAGGAAUUGACGGGGACCCGCACAAGCGGUGGAGCAUGUGGUUUAAUUCGAAGCAACGCGAAGAACCUUACCAAAUCUUGACAUCCUUUGAUCGCUCUAGAGAUAGAGUUUUCCCCUUCGGGGGACAAAGUGACAGGUGGUGCAUGGUUGUCGUCAGCUCGUGUCGUGAGAUGUUGGGUUAAGUCCCGCAACGAGCGCAACCCUUAAGCUUAGUUGCCAUCAUUAAGUUGGGCACUCUAGGUUGACUGCCGGUGACAAACCGGAGGAAGGUGGGGAUGACGUCAAAUCAUCAUGCCCCUUAUGAUUUGGGCUACACACGUGCUACAAUGGAUAAUACAAAGGGCAGCGAACCCGCGAGGUCAAGCAAAUCCCAUAAAAUUAUUCUCAGUUCGGAUUGUAGUCUGCAACUCGACUACAUGAAGCUGGAAUCGCUAGUAAUCGUAGAUCAGCAUGCUACGGUGAAUACGUUCCCGGGUCUUGUACACACCGCCCGUCACACCACGAGAGUUUGUAACACCCGAAGCCGGUGGAGUAACCUUUUAUUAGGAGCUAGCCGUCGA
RNAcentral lists this ribosomal RNA (909 nucleotides) under Dysgonomonas mossii. RNAcentral describes it as "bacterial SSU rRNA". It matches the Rfam family "Bacterial small subunit ribosomal RNA", at positions 556 to 1459 of the family's 1533-position model. Lineage: Bacteria; Pseudomonadati; Bacteroidota; Bacteroidia; Bacteroidales; Dysgonomonadaceae. The record is from RNAcentral.